Molecule: unclassified non-coding RNA, 860 nt
Filed under: Hevea brasiliensis (rubber tree)
Lineage: Eukaryota; Viridiplantae; Streptophyta; Magnoliopsida; Malpighiales; Euphorbiaceae
Source: RNAcentral
AGAGGAUAAUAUGCGAUAUUUUAACGUGAUGAUUCUUGGCCCAACACAGUCUCCAUAUGAAGGUAUUAUUUGUGAUAUUAUUUAUGAGUGUAUGGAAUUUGUUUCAAAAACUUUGUUUGCAAUGCAUAAGAAAUGCGAAAUCAAAUUCCUGUUCAGUACUUCACUUAAAUAUGUUUUUGAAGCAACAAAAUAUUUGAUUUUUGAUAGAACAAAAUGAUCUCUUUUCAGAAUAGGAGGUUCUCUUAUCUCUCUUUGCUUCAAUUUCUCUUUUAAUUCCUGCAAAGUAGAGAUAAAUAGCAAGGGGAACCAGUUAUCUAGGUGAUGGACCCUCCAAUGCUUAAGUCGGUAUUCAUGUAGUAUUGAUAGAUGGGUUACUUGCUCCCUCUAACUAAAUAUGUAUAGCUAUGAUAGUUUUAUCAUUUUGCAAGAAAUUUCUUGUUUGUUUUCUCCCAUUAUUUUAUGUCCUAACUCCUUUUUGUUCAUCAGCUGUAAUUUGUGGGAAGCAAUGCUUCUGAAUAUCAGUUAGAUAAGUUUUGAUUCUGAUGUUAUUAAUCUUUAUAAGAUAAAGAUCUAAGAUACAAGCAAUGUGGUUUGUCUUGUCAUCUUACUUAACUCGGGCUUAGCAAGUAUUCCAAUGAAUACCUGAAAUCGCAUUCCUAAAUACUUUUUGAGUAGUUCAUGAUGUGAAUGGAAAUGCUAUAAUUAUUGUGCAUAUGGCUGUAGCUUUUCUUUCUUUCUACAUUUUUUGGAAUUUAGUACUGAGUGUGAAAACAAUACAGUUUUCUUUUUUUCCUAUGCAUUUGUUAUGUAACCUGUGCUAUGAUUGCAAUUUUAUUAAGGUGGGGUUUUCAAGCUGGAAU